RNAcentral lists this long non-coding RNA (957 nucleotides) under Homo sapiens (human). Its description in RNAcentral is "HSALNT0369015". Lineage: Eukaryota; Metazoa; Chordata; Mammalia; Primates; Hominidae. The record is from RNAcentral.
GCAAGUUGUCCCAAAAGUCAGGAGUAACAGCAUUUCAAGAAGGAGGCAGCGAUAAAUUCUGUCAGUGGCUGCUCAUGGAUUAAGUAUAAUGAGAACUGAGAACUACCCUUUUGUUUGGCACUGGGAAACAAUUGGUGACCUCAGCCUCAUGUCACUAGAAGCUACAGUAUUGGACAGCACAGCUGCAGAGUGUCUGUUCUUUGAGGAUUCUCUGUUCUCCAAAUGUAAAAUCAAGAAUGAGAACGCUGGCAGAAGUAAGGAAAGAUGAGACCUGUUUUGAAAACGAAGUUUUAGAGGAACUAUGUGAACAGAUUGUGUUCUUCAGGGGCCUGGCACAUGAUGACAUCUAACACCCAUGGCCAACAGCAUUCAUAAUCACCAAUACGCAGCAUCAUACUCUGUCUACUGGCAAUUCCCAGAGAUCCAAGAAAUAUGUAAAACACUGGCUAGAAAGUGUUCUUGUGGCACGAGGCGGUGCUCAUCAGGUGGCUUUAGGGUGCACUGGUCACCUGUUACGUGCAGGUCUCCUGGAGGACCUGAGUCCCUGCCCCAGCUCAGCCCACACCACCUCUGUCACCCUGAGACUUAUAACCAGGCCAGGCGCGAUGGCUCAUGCCUAUAAUCUCAGCACGAUGGGAGGCCGAGGCGAGUGGAUCACUUGAGGUCAGGAGUUCAAGACCAGCCUAGCCAACAUCUCUACUAAAAAUAUACAAAAAUUAGCUGGGCGUGGUGGUACACGACUGUAGUCCCAGCUACUUGGGAGACUGAGGCAGGCGAAUUGCUUGAACCCGGGAGGUGGAGGUUGCAGUGAGCUGAGAUCGCGCCACUGCACUCCAGUCUGAGUGACGGAGCAAGACCCCAGCUCAAAAAAAAAAAAAAGGCCAUUGAGUCCCUGUCUCUUCAGUAGUACUCUCCUUAAGGUCAUUGGGAGGAUUAAAUGAGAUAGUGUAAUGUACA